AGUGAACGCUGGCGGUAGGCCUAACACAUGCCAGUCGAACGGCAGCACAGUAAGAGCUUGCUCUUACGGGUGGCGAGUGGCGGACGGGUGAGGAAUACAUCGGAAUCUACUUUUUCGUGGGGGAUACCGUAGGGAAACUUACGCUAAUACCGCAUACGACCUACGGGUGAAAGCAGGGGAUCUUCGGACCUUGCGCGAUUGAAUGAGCCGAUGUCGGAUUAGCUAGUUGGCGGGGUAAAGGCCCACCAAGGCGACGAUCCGUAGCUGGUCUGAGAGGAUGAUCAGCCACACGGGAACUGAGACACGGUCCAGACUCCUACGGGAGGCAGCAGUGGGGAAUAUUGGACAAUGGGCGCAAGCCUGAUCCAGCCAUACCGCGUGGGUGAAGAAGGCCUUCGGGUUGUAAAGCCCUUUUGUUGGGAAAGAAAAGCAGCAGGUUAAUACCCCGCUGUUCUGACGGUACCCAAAGAAUAAGCACCGGCUAACUUCGUG
RNAcentral lists this ribosomal RNA (492 nucleotides) under uncultured bacterium. RNAcentral's name for it is "partial 16S ribosomal RNA". It matches the Rfam family "Bacterial small subunit ribosomal RNA", at positions 29 to 507 of the family's 1533-position model. The record is from RNAcentral.